GAUGAUUGACUUGGUCUGUUUGAGAACUUGAAGUUCUCGGAAAACAAUAACUAUAUUUCAUCAUAAUAGGGCUAUAAAAGGCAAUAUUUCGUCCCUAAGGAAGCUCAUACUGGAAGCUGAACGGCAAAGGAAAAUCUGCUGAGAGGAGUAAUGAGGACAUCCUACAACUGGAAGCAGAAGCAACUGAUAAGAACGAAUGGAAGCGGGAGAUUACUAAAAAACUUCACCAGAAAGUGGCAACAGGGUCAGAAAACUUGAACAUUUAUAAAGUCCCAAAAAACCUUCGAAAAGUCAAGGAUGAAGCAUACAACUCUCGUAUUGUCUCAAUUGGACCCUUCCAUCUAGGCAACCAUGCCCUUGUAGCUAUGAGACAUCAUAAAUGGCAUUACAUGCAAUAUUUUUAUGCACGAAUAGAAGAUCAUCCACAAUCCCUCCAAUGUUUAGAAGUGUGUACAAAUGCUAUUUAUGAUUUAGAUGAAAAGGUUCAUGGAUGCUAUUCCGAAAA
Molecule: long non-coding RNA, 505 nt
Organism: Prunus persica (peach)
Lineage: Eukaryota; Viridiplantae; Streptophyta; Magnoliopsida; Rosales; Rosaceae
Exons: 2
Source: RefSeq, a predicted model, not a curated record